Molecule: ribosomal RNA, 268 nt
Filed under: uncultured bacterium
Lineage: Bacteria
Description: partial 16S ribosomal RNA
Rfam family: Bacterial small subunit ribosomal RNA
Source: RNAcentral
UACGGAGGGUGCGAGCGUUGUCCGGAAUCAUUGGGCGUAAAGGGCGCGUAGGUGGCGACUCAAGUCAACGGUGAAAGCUCGACGCUCAACGUCGAGUCGGCCGUCGAAACUGGGACGCUUGAGCACUGUAGAGGCAGAUGGAAUUCCGGGUGUAGCGGUGGAAUGCGUAGAGAUCCGGAAGAACACCGGUGGCGAAGGCGGUCUGCUGGGCAGUUGCUGACACUGAUGCGCGACAGCGUGGGGAGCAAAGCAGGAGUAGAUACCCCGU